Molecule: ribosomal RNA, 680 nt
Filed under: uncultured bacterium
Lineage: Bacteria
Description: bacterial SSU rRNA
Rfam family: Bacterial small subunit ribosomal RNA
Source: RNAcentral
AGAGUUUGAUCCUGGCUCAGAUUGAACGCUGGCGGUAUGCUUAACACAUGCAAGUCGAACGGUAACAGGCUAGCUUGCUAGCGCUGACGAGUGGCGGACGGGUGCGUAACGCGUAGGAAUCUGCCUAUUAGUGGGGGACAACAUGGUGAAAACCAUGCUAAUACCGCAUACGCCCUACGGGGGAAAGCGGGGGAUCUUCGGACCUCGCGCUAAUAGAUGAGCCUGCGUUAGAUUAGCUUGUUGGUGAGGUAAUGGCUCACCAAGGCGACGAUCUAUAGCUGUUCUGAGAGGAAGAUCAGCCACACUGGGACUGAGACACGGCCCAGACUCCUACGGGAGGCAGCAGUGGGGAAUAUUGGACAAUGGGCGAAAGCCUGAUCCAGCAAUACCGCGUGUGUGAAGAAGGCCUGAGGGUUGUAAAGCACUUUCAAUUGGGAGGAAAACAGGCAGGUCAAUAUCCUGUCUCUUGACAUUACCUUUAGAAGAAGCACCGGCUAACUCCGUGCCAGCAGCCGCGGUAAUACGGAGGGUGCGAGCGUUAAUCGGAAUUACUGGGCGUAAAGAGUUCGUAGGUGGUUAGUUAAGUUAGAUGUGAAAGCCCCGGGCUCAACCUGGGAACUGCAUUUAAAACUGGCAAACUAGAGUUUAGGAGAGGGAAGUGGAAUUUCAGGUGUAGCAGU